This 431-nucleotide ribosomal RNA is filed under the name uncultured bacterium. Its description in RNAcentral is "partial 16S ribosomal RNA". It matches the Rfam family "Bacterial small subunit ribosomal RNA", at positions 29 to 505 of the family's 1533-position model. The record is from RNAcentral.
AACGAACGCUGGCGGCAUGCCUAACACAUGCAAGUCGAACGAGACCUUCGGGUCUAGUGGCGCACGGGUGCGUAACGCGUGGGAACCUGCCCUUAGGUUCGGAAUAACUCCCCGAAAGGGGUGCUAAUACCGGAUAAUGUCUUCGGACCAAAGAUUUAUCGCCUUUGGAUGGGCCCGCGUUGGAUUAGCUAGUUGGUAGGGUAAAAGCCUACCAAGGCGACGAUCCAUAGCUGGUCUGAGAGGAUGAUCAGCCACACUGGGACUGAGACACGGCCCAGACUCCUACGGGAGGCAGCAGUGGGGAAUAUUGGACAAUGGGCGAAAGCCUGAUCCAGCAAUGCCGCGUGAGUGAUGAAGGCCUUAGGGUUGUAAAGCUCUUUUACCCGGGAUGAUAAUGACAGUACCGGGAGAAUAAGCUCCGGCGAACGCCG